Non-coding RNA from Varanus komodoensis (Komodo dragon), 485 nucleotides. The record is from the annotation of a RefSeq genome assembly. NCBI's taxonomy places the organism in Eukaryota, Metazoa, Chordata, Lepidosauria, Squamata, Varanidae.
GUUGCACUGCAGAAAACCUCCUCACUCAGCCUCCUCCCCAGUCCGUGUCUCCGGGGCAAACCGUCCAACUCCCCUGCACUGGAAGUGGUGGCGGCAGCUGGAACUAUUUCAGCUGGUACCGACAGCCGCCUGGGCAGCGUCCCCAGUUCGUGCUGUAUGGAAGCAGCAGGGGAGAAGGCAUCCCGGAUCGGUUCCCGGAGUCCAGCUCUGGGAGCCCCAACUAUUUAACCAUCACCAACGUCCAGGCUGAAGAUGAGGCUGAGUAUUACUGCAAUGAGAGUUCUUCCGUUCUCUUCAGAACAGGGAAGGCUAUUUCUUGUGGGGGUGAGGGCAGCAAGGGAGAAGGGAUCCCGGAUCGGUUCUCAGGCUCCGGCUAUCAGGGGAACCCCAACUAUCUAACCGUCACCAAUGCCCAGGCUGAAGAUGAGGCUGAGUAUUACUGUGCUGCCUGGGAGAACAACAACUAUGUGUCUCACAGUGGUUGA